CCCCAGCAGAGUAGGAGGGGCCGCUGGCUCAGCUCAGAGCAGAGGAGUUAGAUCCCCGGGCCCCCAGAGACAAGUCGACAGAAUGAGACAUCGCCGUUUCCCAAAGACACGCAGCAGUGAAGAUUCUCGUUCAGAAGGCCCUGCAAAAUCAAAAAGGAAAAAAGAGACAUCGCGCCCCUCCCCUCGCCACCAUGUCUGUCCCCCUGGUUCUGCCAGAACUCCACCGGCUUGCCAAGAGCCACCCAGGAACAGAUUUCCUGUCUCGUCUGCUGCAUCUGGUGGUCCACUCCU
Lontra canadensis (Northern American river otter) is the source of this 291-nucleotide long non-coding RNA. RefSeq lists it as uncharacterized. Lineage: Eukaryota; Metazoa; Chordata; Mammalia; Carnivora; Mustelidae. The record is from RefSeq and is a predicted model, not a curated record. The transcript has 3 exons.